GCUGACACUACCGGUUGACGCCACUGGUUGACGUUACUGGGUGACGUUGCCAGUUGACACUACCAGGUGACACCAGCGGUUGACAGUUCCAAUACUACCGGGUGACACCACUGGUUGACACCACUCGUUGACACUACGGGGUNGAAGAGUCACGGGAUCGUAGGGUUAUAGGAUCAUGGGAUAGAAGAGUCAUGGGAUCCCACCCCAACCAUUUUAGGAUCCCAUGGUUCCAUGAUCCUAAAGGUCCCUCCCACCCCAACCAUUGUAGGAUCCCAUGGUUCCAUAAUCCUUAAGGUCCCUCCCAACCCAACCAUUUUGGGAUCCCAUGGUUCCAUGACCCUACAGGUCCCUCCCACCCCAACCACUGUAGGAUUCCACAGUUCCAUGGUCCUAAAGGUUUCUUCCACCCCAACCAUUUUGGGAUCCCAUGGUUCCAUGACCCUAAAGGUUCCUCCCACCCCAACCAUUGUAGGAUCCCAUGGUUCCAUGACCCUAAAGGUCCCUCCCACCCCAACCAUUGUAGGAUCCCACGGUUCCAUGAUCCUAAAGGUCCAUCCCACCUCAACCACUGUAGGAUCCCAUGGUUCUGUGAUCCCAUAGGUCCCCCUCACCCCAACCAUUUUGGGAUCCCAUGGUUCUGUAAUCCUUAAGGUCCCUCCCACCCCAACCAUUGUAGGAUCCCACAGUUCCAUGGUCCUAAAGGUUUCUUCCACCCCAACCAUUUUGGGAUCCCGUGGUUCCGUGACCCUAAAGGUCCCCCCCACCCCAAGGACGUUGGGAUUUCGUGGUGCUAUGAGCUCUAAGCCCCCCACCCCACCCCACUUUGGGACCCCCUGGCUCCCUUUGCAGGCGAACCCCCUGGAUGUCACCAAGCUGAUCUACUGCUCCCGCACGGUGCCGGAGAUCGAGAAGGUCGGAUGUGGGGCGAGGAA
RNAcentral lists this long non-coding RNA (932 nucleotides) under Numida meleagris (helmeted guineafowl). Its description in RNAcentral is "lncRNA (ENSNMEG00000003846.1)". Lineage: Eukaryota; Metazoa; Chordata; Aves; Galliformes; Numididae. The record is from RNAcentral.